Molecule: RNA transcript, 4123 nt
Organism: Musa acuminata AAA Group (dessert banana)
Lineage: Eukaryota; Viridiplantae; Streptophyta; Magnoliopsida; Zingiberales; Musaceae
Gene name: plant-specific TFIIB-related protein 1
Exons: 4
Source: RefSeq, a predicted model, not a curated record
AGAAGGGCCAACCACGGAUUCGAUUCGGGCUCAAGCGGCAGAGGAGGAUGGUGCGCAUGCGGUGCCCCUACUGCAGCGGCACGGCGCGGCGGUGCGCCACCACCCCCUCCGGCCGCUGCGUCACCGAGUGCUGCUCCUGCGGCCGCGUGGUGGAGGAGCGCCAGCUCCACACCCACCACCUCUUUUCGCUGCGCGCCUUCGACAAUCCCCUCCCCCUCGUCACUCCCGACCUCCUCCACCUCCCCUUUCCCCCACCUCCCCCCUCCCCCUCCCCCUGUGCCGCCACCGCCGACGACGAGGAGGACCCCUUCCACCCCACCGGCUUCAUCACCGCCUUCUCCACCUGGUCCCUGGAGCCUUCCCCCCUUUUCGUCCGCUCCGCCUCCUCCUUUGCCGGCCACCUCGCGGAGCUCGAGCGCACCCUCGAUUCCUCCUCCUCCUCCUCUUCUUCCUCUGGCUCUGAUGCCUCCGGCGGGCCUCUCGUCUCCAUGGACCACCUUCGGGCUUACCUCCAGAUCUUGGAGGUCUCAUCCAUCCUGGGGCUGGACCACGACAUUGCCGACCACGCCUUCCAGCUAUUCCGGGACUGCUCCUCCACCACCUGCCUCCGCAACCGCAGCAUCGAGGCCCUGGCGACGGCUGCGCUUGUACAGGCCAUCCGUGAGGCCCAGGAGCCACGAACCCUCCAGGAAAUAUCUACAGCAAGCAACCUUCCUCAAAAAGAAAUUGGCAAGUACAUCAAGAUUCUUGGGGAAGCUCUGAAACUUAGCCAGCCCAUUAAUAGCAAUUCAAUUGCAGUUCACAUGCCUAGGUUUUGCACGCUACUCCAACUUAAUAAAUCAGCUCAGGAACUCGCAGCUCAUAUUGGAGAAGUUGUCGUGAAUAAAUGCUUUUGUACUCGUCGGAACCCAAUUAGCAUCUCAGCUGCUGCCAUCUACCUAGCAUGUCAACUGGAAGAUAAACGUAAAACCCAGGCUGAAAUUUGUAAAGUGACUGGUUUAACAGAGGUCACUCUUCGUAAAGUGUACAAAGAGCUUUUGGAGAAUUGGGAUGAUUUGCUCCCACCUAACUAUACUCCUGCAGUGCCUCCAGAGAAGGCUUUUCCAAUGACUACAAUCACCUCGGGUCGUUCUUCAACUUCCAAAGUGGAUGUGGUCGAUCUUUACCAUUUGAAUGCAAAUCAUGACAAAGACAAGCACCCAGAAACUGUUAAACCAAGUAAAGCUUUUGAUUCUAUGGAGUGUAGUCAUACAGUCACAAUGAAGGAGACAGAGAAAAAAAGCAAUUCUCAUGUCCGUACAUCAUUUGAUUCCCGGGACUUGAAUCAGGGAGCGUUCUGCCAACCACAGCAGGUUCCUUUUGGAAUGUUUUCCUGUAAGCUAGAGACAGAGAAGGAUCGGAAGGAUGAUCAAGGCAUCAUCAAUCUUAAUGAAACUGAGUCCAGCCUAUUGGAGUAUGAAGGCAGCAAGGACUUGAAAAUUUGUGAUUCUGCUCCACAAAUGGCUCAAACAUCAGUUCCCUCAUCCUCAAAAAGGUACACAAGUCCAUGGCAUUUGAAUGCACCACCAGCUGUUUCAGGGUAUUAUUCUCGGUUUGAAAAGCAACAUAUAGGCGUUGACUUUGCAUCUGGAUCUAGAGAGAUUGGGAAAAGUGGGAGCAAUGAUGCUGAUGGCCACUACCACAAGGAAGAGAAUUAGUAGAGAACCAAAUGAAUGUAUGCAGUGUUGACUUGUUUUUUGUCAUCAUAUGUGGGAUAAAUGAGUGUCAGGCCUUAGGAUGUUCGCCAUCCUGUUAUAUGAGCAUGCUAUAAGAGGAUGUGACACAACUGUAACCCGAUUCUUUAUGUUGAGGCUUGUGCUAUAUGAGACUGGAGCAGUCUAUCAAUCAUCACAUCAGCCUGGUCUAGGUGACUCACUCACUUUUGUUAAUAUUUUAUAAUUAGACAGGUUUCAAUUCUGCACUGUGGAUCUGUCUGGAUAUGUUUAAAUUUUUCAUGUAUAUGGAGGCAAUGCAGCAAGCCAAAUGGCUUGCAAAUUUGGAGGGGAUAAGCAGUUCAACUGUCUUAUUCGAUAGGGUUUAACGAGGAGUUAACUAAUAUCUUGAGCUCUGUUGUCUCUAGAUUUUUCUAUACAUAGGUUUUUCUAUACAGUUUUCCUUCAAAAGAAAAUGCUUGAGGUGGACAUGAAACAUAGGUAUGGAAGAAUUUAGAAAUGCCCUUUUGCUUUGCCUGUACGAGAUUGACAAACCAGAAACAAGGGCGUUGUCCAUGUUCUGAUCAAAAAGUUUAGCAUUCUGAAAACCAAUUCAUCUGUUGUGUAAGCAUUAUGCCUCUUCAUAAGCCUUUUUCUUCUCUAUAUUUUGAUGUUUAUGCCUGCUUGAUUGUUUCCGACUAUGUUUAUUUGAACUUGACCUUUUAGUGGUAGCUUGCAAUUAUCUUGCCUCCAUAUGCACAAAAGAGCGAUGCUUGGUGUGCACAAGAUGCCACCGUAGCAUCGAGAUGUUACACAUGUAGAUGCAUGCAAGACCUCAAGUUGUUACAUGACUAGCGCAUGGUUGCAUGCUAUGGAGACAAACAUACAGAUGCCAAGUCUUCCUCUACACACAUGCAAUUUUAUGUGCACUCGUAACAUUUAUCAUGCAUGUCAUUCUAUACAGAGAUAUGGUAUGUGGGUAGAGGUGUUAAUUAUACUCGUUGGUAUGCGUACAGGUAAGGAUCUGCUUCUAAUGGGAUAAGGAUAAGGGAAUAGAUGGAAAUAAAGAUAGGGAUGACAGAUAUUUUUUAUUACUCAUAUGGUUAUAGGGCGGUGAUGGGUAGAGCACUUCCCAUCUCAUCCUUAUACUUAUCCUAGUCUAAUCUCAUUUAUGUUAUUAUGUUCUAUAUAAUUAUAUAUUUGAUAAUAAUAAUAAUAAUAUAAAAAUAUAUUGGAGCAUUGAAUUCAAUACCUAUGACUCUAACAUUCCAACAUUAAUAAUGAAAACUACAACACCACCAAUUUGGUCGUUAUUAUAUUUUGAUAUAUUUGAUUUUAUUUAUAUCUGGAUAUUUUUGUAUUUAGAUAUUGUUAUGAUGUGUAAAUUUUAUCAAUAUUGUUGUUAUUAUUUAUAAAUUUUAGUAUUAUUAAUUAAUUUUAAUAAUAUUUGAUUUUUUCUUUGAUGGAAUGAAUUAAUUAGGAAAAUAACCUGCAAUUCUCUGCCCCUAAUGGGAUUCCCCUCCCUUGCUCCCGCUCCAUCUAAAUAGGAAAUGGAUGGGGAUGGAGGAUGAGAUAGAGAUGAAGACGAGGAAGCACUUCCUGCCCCGUUGACAUCCCUAUCUAUGAGUUGAAUGUAAGAUUCAUAUCAAAGAAUUUUAAUGAAUCGUAGUUUUCUGCGUCUUCUUUUUGGCUUUCAUCUAUUGUCGACAUUGCAGACUACAGCUUAGCUUAAAAAUAAAAAAUCAUCGAUAACAAAAAAAUUUGAUUCCACCGAACUCGAAGAUUACAGUGACUAUUCUGUUUUCUUCUUCGAGCUCAUGUCAUGAUCUUGACAAGAUAUCUAUUGAGCUCAUAGCAACCAUUAACAUUUUAUUGUUUUUAAUUUAUAGCUACAUAGAUAUGCUGAUAUUAUCUUUGACUUAUAGAUUUAGCUGCAUAAAUGUGACAUGAUACAAUAUAUUGGACGAACAAAUCUAACAUAAUUAACAAAUGUGUUUGAUCUUAUCCCAAGUGAUUCUUUCCGCUGAUCCUUUGUUUCAAUGUUCAGACUUAUCCCAUUGUGUUUUCCAUUUAGCUAGGCAGGCAUUAAAUGAAAGGAAAUUUGGGGGAAAUCAAGUCCUUGCAGUUUCUUAUCCAGAGAACAAGUUUGCUCAGGGAGACUUGGAUGGCUAGUUGCUUCCAAUUUUGCUCCACCAGUUGUUUCCACGUUUACUGUAUCACAGUUCAGUGAGGAAUAAUACCCUUCAUCAUGUUUGGACAUCUUAGCAUACAUUGAUUAGAUUCAUGUGCUAACCAGUCUAGUUUUGACAGACAUCUGGUUAAGAGAAACUCAUUUCAAUGGGACUAUAAUCAGUAGAUGUAACACAAUUCCAAUAGUUUUUUCUUUCUUUCUUUUGCAAGAUUGGCAAUCUUACAACUUCAUAGUUCUCUUU